CCUACGGGUGGCUGCAGUGGGGAAUAUUGGACAAUGGGGGCAACCCUGAUCCAGCCAUGCCGCGUGUGUGAAGAAGGCCCUCGGGUUGUAAAGCACUUUCAGUGAGGAAGAACGCCUGGUGGUUAAUACCCAUCAGGAAAGACAUCACUCACAGAAGAAGCAUCGGCUAACUCCGUGCCAGCAGCCGCGGUAAUACGGAGGGUGCGAGCGUUAAUCGGAAUUACUGGGCGUAAAGCGCGCGUAGGUGGCUUGAUAAGCCGGUUGUGAAAGCCCCGGGCUCAACCUGGGAACGGCAUCCGGAACUGUCAAGCUAGAGUGCAGGAGAGGAAGGUAGAAUUCCCGGUGUAGCGGUGAAAUGCGUAGAGAUCGGGAGGAAUACCAGUGGCGAAGGCGGCCUUCUGGACUGACACUGACACUGAGGUGCGAAAGCGUGGGUAGCAAACAGGAUUAGAUACCCCGGUAGUC
Molecule: ribosomal RNA, 465 nt
Filed under: Vreelandella stevensii
Lineage: Bacteria; Pseudomonadati; Pseudomonadota; Gammaproteobacteria; Oceanospirillales; Halomonadaceae
Description: partial 16S ribosomal RNA
Rfam family: Bacterial small subunit ribosomal RNA
Source: RNAcentral